Molecule: ribosomal RNA, 253 nt
Filed under: uncultured bacterium
Lineage: Bacteria
Description: partial 16S ribosomal RNA
Rfam family: Bacterial small subunit ribosomal RNA
Source: RNAcentral
UACGUAGGUGGCAAGCGUUGUCCGGAAUUAUUGGGCGUAAAGCGCGCGCAGGCGGUCUUUUAAGUCUGAUGUGAAAGCCCACGGCUCAACCGUGGAGGGUCAUUGGAAACUGGGGGGCUUGAGUGCAGGAGAGAAGAGUGGAAUUCCACGUGUAGCGGUGAAAUGCGUAGAGAUGUGGAGGAACACCAGUGGCGAAGGCGACUUUCUGGGCUGUAACUGACGCUGAGGCGCGAAAGCGUGGGGAGCAAACAGG